This is a long non-coding RNA of Sander lucioperca (pikeperch), 123 nucleotides long. RefSeq lists it as uncharacterized. The record is from RefSeq and is a predicted model, not a curated record. The transcript has 3 exons. Lineage: Eukaryota; Metazoa; Chordata; Actinopteri; Perciformes; Percidae.
CAGCCUGGUAGCUGGAUAGUCCAGUACAGCAAUGUUUCCACAACAACAAAAACACAGCAGUAUCUGAACUCGCAUUGGGAGUUUCGUUCAAGUUGGAUGUAGUCCACUAGCUAAGUUAUACAC